GACGAACGCUGGCGGCGUGCUUAACACAUGCAAGUCGAACGGAAAGGCCCUGCUUGCAGGGUACUCGAGUGGCGAACGGGUGAGUAACACGUGGGUGAUCUGCCCUGCACUUCGGGAUAAGCCUGGGAAACUGGGUCUAAUACCGGAUAGGAGCCAUUUUUAGUGUGAUGGUUGGAAAGUUUUUUCGGUGUAGGAUGAGCUCGCGGCCUAUCAGCUUGUUGGUGGGGUAAUGGCCUACCAAGGCGGCGACGGGUAGCCGGCCUGAGAGGGUGGACGGCCACAUUGGGACUGAGAUACGGCCCAGACUCCUACGGGAGGCAGCAGUGGGGAAUAUUGCACAAUGGGCGCAAGCCUGAUGCAGCGACGCCGCGUGGGGGAUGACGGCCUUCGGGUUGUAAACUCCUUUCGCUAGGGACGAAGCUUUUUGUGACGGUACCUAGAUAAGAAGCACCGGCAAACUACGU
Molecule: ribosomal RNA, 464 nt
Filed under: uncultured bacterium
Lineage: Bacteria
Description: partial 16S ribosomal RNA
Rfam family: Bacterial small subunit ribosomal RNA
Source: RNAcentral